Molecule: ribosomal RNA, 470 nt
Filed under: uncultured bacterium
Lineage: Bacteria
Description: bacterial SSU rRNA
Rfam family: Bacterial small subunit ribosomal RNA
Source: RNAcentral
GACGAACGCUGGCGGCGUGCUUAAUACAUGCAAGUCGAACGGAGCCUAGCCGGUAGUUUACUACAGGCGAAAGCUUAGUGGCGGACGGGUGAGUAACGCGUGGGCAAUCUGCCCCUAAGUCCGGGAUAACAGAGCGAAAGUUCUGCUAAGACCGGAUACUCUUCCUUGGUCGCAUGGCGGAGGAAGGAAAGGAUACGCUUAGGGAUGAGCCCGCGUCCCAUUAGCUAGUUGGUGAGGUAACGGCCCACCAAGGCGACGAUGGGUAGCCGGCCUGAGAGGGUGGACGGCCACACUGGGACUGAGACACGGCCCAGACUCCUACGGGAGGCAGCAGUAGGGAAUUUUCCGCAAUGGGGGAAACCCUGACGGAGCAACGCCGCGUGAGGGAAGAAGGCCUUCGGGUCGUAAACCUUUAGUCAUCGAGGACGAUAAUGACGGUACUCGAGGAGGAAGCCCCGGCUAACUACGUG